AGUAGAUCGCAAAAUGGCGGACCGGGUGCACGCGUCUACUACACGCAUGGGGACGACGGGGGAAUUGCGGACACGGGGUAAAUACGGACUAACAUUUAUCUACUCUAUACCUACCGCCCGCGUCCCGCCGCCGCGAUCACGCGUUACGUUCCGCCAUCUUUAGUGCCCACUAAACAUUUCUGACAGACGGCUGCGCACACGUUUCAAGGUAAUUACAAUUUUACAUUUUUUGUGAUUUUGAUGUAAUUUUUAGUAUUAACUAUUUUGAGUGUUAUUCAAAAAGAAUAGGUGUCAGUAAAAAAGUCAUAUUUUCUGUCGUUUGCGAUGUAAAUGACGAGUAAAUAGUACAACCAUUUUCCUUGAUAAAUUUUGUUAACCUAAAAAAAAUUUUGUUGUUCUUUUUCUAACUCGUUUGGGUCAAUUGCGGACAAAUGGCCUGGGGUAAAUACGGACGUCUGUAAUUACCCCAUUAUUUAUCAAAACCUAUUAUUUUUAUAUUAUUUUUUGUAAUUCCCCCAUUAUCUAUCAAAACCUAUAGAAAUGUUUCUAUAUUCCAGAUGCCUCGAAAAUAUAUUAAGAAAAAAGGACCAACUUACACCAUUGAAACUUUACGAAGAGCUGUGCAAGAAAUUAAAGAAAAAAAGACUCCUUUUCGACAGGCGGCAGAGAAGUAUGGCAUUCCCAGAGCGACCCUUUUUGAUCAAGUGAAAAAAGACUGUGUUAGUACCAUGCCAAAAAGAGGAAAGAAAUCAGUUUUUAAUGAAUCUCAAGAAAACGAACUGGUCGAAUUCAUUUUAAAAUCUUGCAAAGCCUUCCUUGGGAUAACAAUUCCUACCCU
Molecule: long non-coding RNA, 838 nt
Organism: Melitaea cinxia (Glanville fritillary)
Lineage: Eukaryota; Metazoa; Arthropoda; Insecta; Lepidoptera; Nymphalidae
Exons: 2
Source: RefSeq, a predicted model, not a curated record